This 253-nucleotide ribosomal RNA is filed under the name uncultured bacterium. RNAcentral describes it as "partial 16S ribosomal RNA". It matches the Rfam family "Bacterial small subunit ribosomal RNA", at positions 524 to 776 of the family's 1533-position model. The record is from RNAcentral.
UACAGAGGUCCCAAGCGUUGUUCGGAUUCACUGGGCGUAAAGGGUGCGUAGGCGGUCGGGUAAGUCUGUUGUGAAAUCUCCGAGCUUAACUCGGAAACUGCAAUGGAUACUAUUCGGCUCGAGGAAUGGAGGGGAGACUGGAAUACUUGGUGUAGCAGUGAAAUGCGUAGAUAUCAAGUGGAACACCAGUGGCGAAGGCGAGUCUCUGGACAUUUCCUGACGCUGAGGCACGAAAGCCAGGGGAGCAAACGGG